This 991-nucleotide long non-coding RNA is filed under the name Triticum aestivum (bread wheat). Its description in RNAcentral is "long non-coding RNA (TAES_LNC000793)". The record is from RNAcentral. Lineage: Eukaryota; Viridiplantae; Streptophyta; Magnoliopsida; Poales; Poaceae.
UCGGACGAGUGGUUAUCAGGGUAAUCGUUCACGCUGAAACCUACCAUCCAAUAAAAGACAUAUAUAUUCUACUGUACAUAUACAAUGUAUUUUAUCUGCAACUAUUUCAGCAUGAGCAGAGUACCAUGGCCUCUGAACAUGGGUAUGUAAUGUCCGCUGCUUUGCGAAUCUUUUCAACAAGCAUAAUACUGUUUCCCGGAUGAUUUGUAGUACCAGUAUUUCAUAUCAUUCCAGCUUAGAGAAAUAAUGUUGGUUUACCGAGGCCAUAUUGGGCAUAUCAUGUGCAAAACCUUAGGUGUCAAUCUUUCAGGCUCACGGAGUUUCCCUUCUUAUCAUUCUGUCAUUCAUUGUUCCAUAAGACAGAGAGUUCUGACCUUCGCCUUCAACUCCCGUCACGACUCAGUCUGACUGCUGUCUUAGCUGACCAGACCAACAGUUGUGCCAUCCCACCUGGGAUAAGAAGAAAGCUCAGAAAUCUAAACUAGAGUUGCACCAAUACGUAAGCAAAAGAAAGAAAGGGGUUACCCACCUGUACAAGCGCAGAGAAUGUUGUCGCAACGUCGAUGAGUUAUCCAGUCUCUGUCCCUGUUUAUCAACUCUUGAUGAGAAUGUGUUGACGAUUUCACUUGCUCUCUCCGUACAAACCAACAUAUAGAGAAGCGGGUGGUUUCAAUCCUGCAAAAUGCACAUAGUUGUUUUAAUAUCGAUGGGUGCUAAGGAAGUUCGUAUACUUAUAACAGUUAGCACUUAGCAGUUCAGUCCUGCAACCAACCUGCUUUUCAGAAGCAGUAUUCCAUUCCAUCUUCCCAUGUUGAAAAUCCAUGGUGCUCACCCUCAGCUGUUGCUGCCAAAGAGAGCAUACUGUGAGAAGAAUUAUCCAUCUUUGCUUUCGAAGCCGAGUAGAUACUUAAAGUUCAGCAUACAGAUUGAAAUUAGCCAGAACAACGCAAACUAUUUAUUGGUUAACAAAGCUCAGUAUAUUGGAAGGUUC